This 253-nucleotide ribosomal RNA is filed under the name uncultured bacterium. Its description in RNAcentral is "partial 16S ribosomal RNA". It matches the Rfam family "Bacterial small subunit ribosomal RNA", at positions 524 to 776 of the family's 1533-position model. The record is from RNAcentral.
GACAGAGGGGGCAAGCGUUGUCCGGAUUGACUGGGCGUACAGCGCGCGCAGGCGGUGAGCUGUGUCCGAUGUGAAAGCCCCGGGCUUAACCUGGGAAUGGCAUUGGAAACUGGCUCGCUGGAGUGUGGCAGAGGGGGGUGGAAUUCCGCGUGUAGCAGUGAAAUGCGUAGAGAUGCGGAGGAACACCGAUGGCGAAGGCAGCCCCCUGGGCUAACACUGACGCUCAGGCACGAAAGCGUGGGGAGCAAACAGG